UGCCCCCUGGCCCAGCUGGUUAAGGCGCACGACUGUUAAUGUCCCGUGAUGUAACUUAACAUCACGUGAGUGAUCGUGAGAUCGUGAGUUCGAGCCUCACGGGGGCAG
Non-coding RNA from Mycena haematopus, 108 nucleotides. The record is from the annotation of a GenBank genome assembly. Lineage: Eukaryota; Fungi; Basidiomycota; Agaricomycetes; Agaricales; Mycenaceae.